GAGUGAGAGCACUAUCUGGCUGCGAAAUCUAUCACCCCAUUGAUGAUCAGAGUUGAUUUGGCAGGUCUGGCUGGCUAAGUGGGUGUCCCCCUUCCUCCCUCACUGCUCCAUGUGUGUCCCUCUCAAAGCCUUUGUCAAAGAGGACUGCCUUCCCGGAAUACUGACUGGCCUGCCUUCCUGGAAUAGAGACUGACUAAUCUCUCUGAACUCAAAUCAUCUCCAGUGGCAGAUAUAGGAGUAACUGUGCUCCUCUGCUCAAACCUCCAAACAAGCACUCAAGAAAAAUAGCUUUCUGAAGUAGUCAGUAAUUAUUUCUGAAAAUAAUUAUGGUGAUAAAAAGAGCGUUUUCCCACUGUUUGUU
This is an unclassified non-coding RNA of Erinaceus europaeus (western European hedgehog), 361 nucleotides long. Its record names the gene 7SK. It matches the Rfam family "7SK RNA". From Rfam's summary of the family: 7SK was discovered as an abundant small nuclear RNA in the mid-70s but a possible function has only recently been suggested. Two independent studies have found that 7SK RNA binds the CDK9/cyclin T complex (known as elongation factor P-TEFb). The record is from Ensembl. NCBI's taxonomy places the organism in Eukaryota, Metazoa, Chordata, Mammalia, Eulipotyphla, Erinaceidae.